Molecule: ribosomal RNA, 239 nt
Filed under: uncultured bacterium
Lineage: Bacteria
Description: partial 16S ribosomal RNA
Rfam family: Bacterial small subunit ribosomal RNA
Source: RNAcentral
GAUCAUGGCUCAGGAUGAACGCUAGCUACAGGCUUAACACAUGCAAGUCGAGGGCAGCAUGAACUUAGCUUGCUAAGUUUGAUGGCGACCGGCGCACGGGUGAGUAACACGUAUCCAACCUGCCGAUGACUCGGGGAGUAGCCUUUCGAAAGAAAAGAUUAAUACCGAUGGCAUAGUUCUUCCGCAUGGUGGAACUAUUAAAGAAUUUCGGUCAUACGAUGGGGAUGCGUUCCAUUAGG